Anolis carolinensis (green anole) is the source of this 1677-nucleotide long non-coding RNA. RefSeq lists it as uncharacterized. The record is from RefSeq and is a predicted model, not a curated record. NCBI's taxonomy places the organism in Eukaryota, Metazoa, Chordata, Lepidosauria, Squamata, Anolidae. The transcript is spliced from 4 exons.
GUCAACAGGGAAGGGUAGGGGUCGGUGUGGGGAGGGAGAAGGAAAUGGAAAAGGAAAAAGUAUGGUAACUUUGGUUAAGUAUAUAAAAUAAUAUUGAAUAAAAAUUUCACUUUGGGGGGGGGGAAACAAAUACUAUGAUCAACUAAACACUGUACAAGGUAAGAGACUAGUUAAGAGUUUUGUGUUCUUGGAAAAUAAAUUCUAUCUUAUUUGAAUCUUUGAGUGUAAGUGCUUUAUACAGAGUGCCAUACGGGAUUUGUUGAAUGACAUUAUACAGCAACCACCAUUAAGUCUUCAGCUGACUUGCCAUUACCAAAAAAGCUUAUGCUCUUCUUUCUGACAAUGUAUUUUUAAUUACUCAGCACUAUUAUGUAUCAGUCUUUAAAUGUUCUGCCUAUAUAUUCUGCGAAAAGCUUCCAAUUAUUUUGAAAGCAUUGUAUUGUUUAUUUCUAAUAACUCAAAUUACUUUAUCAAAAUCUGAAAAGUUUCAUGGUUUGGUCAACCAUGUGUUGUUUAUAGAUGGAAUAAUAUAUAAUAAUACCCAAUUGUGGUUGGGUUUUAAAUGCUAUUUAUUAAGUUAUGUCUGUAUGCAUGUACCUGUUGGCAUUGCAUAUUUGUCUUUUAUCUUGGUAGCUGCUCCGAGUCCCGUAUUGGGAGAUGGGGCGGGAUAUAAAUAAAGUUUUCUUAUUAUUGUUAUAAUUAUUAUUAUUAUGCCUGAUAGAUACCUAUCAUACCCCAAAAGGUAUGUAUUAUGUAUAUUGAAAACAUCAUUGCCAGUUCCCAAGUAUGUGGUGACUACUUCCAUGCUACAUCCAGCUCUCACCAAAACUAGGGACUUCUUUAGGACUAUCUCACAUAUUGUGGAACAAAUUGAAAUAGGCGCAAGCCACUCAUUCAGAUGGACUGCAAAUAAACUAUGACUUUCCUGCUUUCUAUUCAAUAUUAUGGAAAUUCUGCUUUUAACCUCAUCCUCAGCCUUGAUGUAUUGGAACAGUUCCAGUCUUAGUUUCACUUACCUGUUUCAGAACCAAAAGUGGUGUAAUGGAAGAUGAAGAAAAGGACUGGGAUCAGAGUUUUCCACCAACUUGCUUCCAUUUGUCAGCCAGUUCAGACUACAUAAUCCCAAGAGGACUUUGGGGAAGCAACAAUAAAGAUUCCACUGGAACAUAAAGAUGAAGGUAGAUUCCCCGCCCCUUACAUUUAAGACCUAAACUAUCUGAGGAUGCUUCUACAUCAACACUGAAAUGCAGAUGGAUUAAAACAAACCAAUUUCACUGUGCAAUGCCAACACAAACACCCCAAGAACCAGUUCAAGGCUGGGACGAUGACCACAGUAUCCCUUGGUGGUGGGUUGUAACUGAACCCAGACACUGAAACAAGCCAUCACAUUGUGUUGUUGAAAGGAAGAAAACUUCACAGAAUGCAAGUGGGACGUUAUACAGCACGAGGAAAAAUGUGCACUGAACUUCCACAAUUCCAGCAAAGAGCAAUACUGGCAGGCAGAGCAGCAACCACAACUCUCCCUUAAAGAUUAUACUCCUUUUAAUUUUUUAAUUAAAGCCUGCAGAUAUACCCCGAAAUGUAUCAGAGCAUGUGCAGAACGGAUCUGCAGCAGUGAAUCCCACACAGAGAUUCUAUCGUUACUAACCCUUUAAUAAAAUGUAUAUUUUCUUAUGA